Penaeus vannamei (Pacific white shrimp) is the source of this 571-nucleotide non-coding RNA. The record is from RefSeq and is a predicted model, not a curated record. Lineage: Eukaryota; Metazoa; Arthropoda; Malacostraca; Decapoda; Penaeidae.
UACCUGUUAUGACUUAUAUUGCUGUUAUUAUUCUUCAUGUCAUCAUUUUAUUACAUGGAUUUUCCGUUAUGGAUUUUACAUCUCAAGUCCUUCACAUUUACACAGUGGAAAUGCACACCUAUUUUGACAAGUGAAAGAAGUUAUUUGGGUUUUUCACUUUUUCACUCUGGAAACUUCACACAUACUGGGGUCUCCGCCAGGAUGUGUUGCGCCACUGAGGGUGAGGCUGGGAAAGUUCCCUUAUAAAAGGUGUUACUCGUGGCCUUCUGUUGGGAGUUACUUACACACUCUCGCUGCCGUUAGACAAGAGUGGCUAGAAUGAGAUGUAGAAUAGUCUUCAUCGACAAGGAUGGCCAGGACAGUUCUCAUGCUGGCGGCGCUCGUGGCUGUCACUGAGCCAUUUGUGCAGCACUCUCGCCCAGCCCUCAUUGCCCCUGUGCCAAGCAACCCGCGGAAGUGACGUCACGUCCCUACGAAGAAAAGGAAAUCCUAUCAGCCAGACACCAUGAGUUGCUUUGCUGCCCAGAGGCGCUCCUGGGAUCCCUGCGUGACGGGUACAAGAUCACGUGGG